Molecule: ribosomal RNA, 543 nt
Filed under: uncultured bacterium
Lineage: Bacteria
Description: partial 16S ribosomal RNA
Source: RNAcentral
CACCGAUUGCCGGCGUACUCCCCAGNUGGAAUACUUAACGCUUUCGCUUGGCCGCUUGCUGUGUAUCGCAAACAGCGAGUAUUCAUCGGNUCACUGUGUGGACUACCAGGGUAUCUAAUCCUGUUUGAUACCCACACUUUCGAGCAUCAGUGUCAGUUGCAGUCCAGUGAGCUGCCUUCGCAAUCGGAGUUCUUCGUGAUAUCUAAGCAUUUCACCGCUACACCACGAAUUCCGCCCACCUCUACUGUACUCAAGACUGACAGUAUCAAUUGCAAUUUUACGGUUGAGCCGCAAACUUUCACAACUGACUUAUCAAUCCACCUACGCUCCCUUUAAACCCAAUGAAUCCGGAUAACGCUCGGAUCCUCCGUAUUACCGCGGCUGCUGGCACGGAGUUAGCCGAUCCUUAUUCAUAGGGUACAUACAAAACAGUAUACAUACUGCACUUUAUUCCCCCAUAAAAGAAGUUUACGACCCAUAGAGCCUUCAUCCUUCACGCUACUUGGCUGGUUCAGGCCUGCGCCCAUUGACCAAUAUUCCUCA